RNAcentral lists this unclassified non-coding RNA (229 nucleotides) under uncultured fungus. RNAcentral describes it as "sequence contains ITS1, 5.8S rRNA gene". The stretch from base 181 to 229 matches the Rfam family "5.8S ribosomal RNA", at positions 1 to 49 of the family's 154-position model. The record is from RNAcentral. Lineage: Eukaryota; Fungi.
UCUCCGUAGGUGAACCUGCGGAGGGAUCAUUACUGAGUGAGGGCGAAACGCCCGACCUCCCACCCCAUGUGAUUAUACCAUGUUGCCUCGGGGGUGACCCGGGCCCGUCGGCUCGGGGCCCCCGACGGACAAUUUCAAACACUACAUCUUUGCGUCGGAUUACAAAGUUUAAUGAAUUAAAACUUUCAACAACGGAUCUCUUGGUUCUGGCAUCGAUGAAGAACGCAGC